This 25-nucleotide non-coding RNA is filed under the name Rattus norvegicus (Norway rat). The record is from RNAcentral. Lineage: Eukaryota; Metazoa; Chordata; Mammalia; Rodentia; Muridae.
UCGUGUCAGGUGUGCAUAGUGCAGC